AUACGGAGGGUCCAAGCGUUAUCCGGAAUCAUUGGGUUUAAAGGGUUCGUAGGCGGGUCAAUAAGUCAGAGGUGAAAUCUUGCAGCUUAACUGUAAAAUUGCCUUUGAUACUGUUGACCUUGAAUUACUGUGAAGUGGCUAGAAUAUGUAGUGUAGAGGUGAAAUGCUUAGAGAUUACAUAGGAUACCGAUUGCGAAGGCAGAUCACUAACAGUAUAUUGACGCUGAUGAACGAAAGCGUGGGUAGCGAACGGGAUUAGAAACCCCAGUAGUCC
Molecule: ribosomal RNA, 274 nt
Filed under: uncultured bacterium
Lineage: Bacteria
Description: partial 16S ribosomal RNA
Rfam family: Bacterial small subunit ribosomal RNA
Source: RNAcentral